UACGUAGGUGGCGAGCGUUGUCCGGAUUUACUGGGCGUAAAGGAUGCGUAGGCGGAUAUUUAAGUGAGAUGUGAAAUACCCGAGCUUAACUUGGGUGCUGCAUUUCAAACUGGAUAUCUAGAGUGUGGGAGAGGAGAAUGGAAUUCCUAGUGUAGCGGUGAAAUGCGUAGAGAUUAGGAAGAACACCAGUGGCGAAGGCGAUUCUCUGGACCAUGACUGACGCUGAGGCAUGAAAGCGUGGGUAGCAAACAGG
Molecule: ribosomal RNA, 253 nt
Filed under: uncultured bacterium
Lineage: Bacteria
Description: partial 16S ribosomal RNA
Rfam family: Bacterial small subunit ribosomal RNA
Source: RNAcentral